This 81-nucleotide transfer RNA is filed under the name Trichuris muris. Its description in RNAcentral is "snRNA TMUE_0100000037". It matches the Rfam family "tRNA". Rfam says of the family: Transfer RNA (tRNA) molecules are approximately 80 nucleotides in length. Their secondary structure includes four short double-helical elements and three loops (D, anti-codon, and T loops). The record is from RNAcentral. Lineage: Eukaryota; Metazoa; Nematoda; Enoplea; Trichinellida; Trichuridae.
GCUGUGGUGACCGAGUGGUUAAGGCGUUGGACAUGAAAUCCAAUGAGUUGUACCGGCGCAGGUUUAGUCCUGCCCGCAGCU